UAUCUCUGUAGAGUCUGCAUAUCAAUAAGCGGAGGAAAAGAAACUAACAAGGAUUCCCCUAGUAACGGCGAGUGAAGCGGGAAGAGCUCAAAUUUGAAAUCUUCAAGGUUUGACCUUGACGAAUUGUAGUUUAAAGAAGUGUUUUCGGUUAGAGGAGUAGUAAAAGUUCUUUGGAAUAGGACAUCAUAGAGGGUGAGAAUCCCGUAUUUGACUAUUCUUUCUAGCUUUGUGAUACACUUUCAAAGAGUCGGAUUGUUUGGGAAUGCAGUCCAAAAUGGGUGGUAAAUUUCAUCUAAAGCUAAAUAUUGGCGAGAGACCGAUAGCGAACAAGUACCGUGAGGGAAAGAUGAAAAGAACUUUGAAAAGGAGAGUUAAACAGUACGUGAAAUUGUCAAAAGGGAAGCGUUUGACACCAGUGUUGUUUUUUCCGAAAAUCAAUUACGAAUGGCUUGAUUUUGUGUUGUAUUGACCUUAUCAGCUUUCUUCACUUUUUCUCGAGUCUUUCUUAAUGCACUUUUCGGUUAACAAGUCAACAUCAAUUUCUUUUGUUGUAGAAGAGUAUUCGGAAGGUGGCUUUCUUUUCGGAGAAAGGUGUUUAUAGCCCUAUACUUCUACAAUCGGAGAGAUUGAGGUCUGCAGCGUAGAUCCUUCGGGGUUAGAUACACUUGUGCUAAGUUGUAGCUUUUCAUAGACAACUUGUUGACUAUGUUUAGUCAUGCGGCUUACUCGCUUGUGCUAUUUUACCUACGCUUAGGAUGUUGAAGACUCUACAGAGAUA
This 778-nucleotide ribosomal RNA is filed under the name uncultured Neocallimastigales. Its description in RNAcentral is "partial large subunit ribosomal RNA". It matches the Rfam family "Eukaryotic large subunit ribosomal RNA", at positions 24 to 642 of the family's 3401-position model. The record is from RNAcentral. Lineage: Eukaryota; Fungi; Neocallimastigomycota; Neocallimastigomycetes; Neocallimastigales.